AGUGAACGCUGGCGGUAGGCCUAACACAUGCAAGUCGAACGGCAGCACAGUAAGAGCUUGCUCUUACGGGUGGCGAGUGUCGGACGGGUGAGGAAUACAUCGGAAUCUACUUUUUCGUGGGGGAUAACGUAGGGAAACUUACGCUAAUACCGCAUACGACCUACGGGUGAAAGCAGGGGAUCUUCGGACCUUGCGCGAUUGAAUGAGCCGAUGUCGGAUUAGCUAGUUGGCGGGGUAAAGGCCCACCAAGGCGACGAUCCGUAGCUGGUCUGAGAGGAUGAUCAGCCACACUGGAACUGAGACACGGUCCAGACUCCUACGGGAGGCAGCAGUGAGGAAUAUUGGACAAUGGGCGCAAGCCUGAUCCAGCCAUACCGCGUGGGUGAAGAAGGCCUUCGGGUUGUAAAGCCCUUUUGUUGGGAAAGAAAAGCAGCAGGUUAAUACCCCGCUGUUCUGACGGUACCCAAAGAAUAAGCACCGGCUAACUUCGUG
This 492-nucleotide ribosomal RNA is filed under the name uncultured bacterium. Its description in RNAcentral is "partial 16S ribosomal RNA". It matches the Rfam family "Bacterial small subunit ribosomal RNA", at positions 29 to 507 of the family's 1533-position model. The record is from RNAcentral.